This 502-nucleotide ribosomal RNA is filed under the name uncultured bacterium. RNAcentral's name for it is "partial 16S ribosomal RNA". It matches the Rfam family "Bacterial small subunit ribosomal RNA", at positions 28 to 507 of the family's 1533-position model. The record is from RNAcentral.
GACGAACGCUGGCGGCGUGCUUAACACAUGCAAGUCGAACGGUGAAGGGGUCUGCUUUUGUGGGCCCUGGAUGAGUGGCGAACGGGUGAGUAACACGUGAGUAACCUGCCCCCUUCUUCUGGAUAACCGCAUGAAAGUGUGGCUAAUACGGGAUAUUCUGGGUCUGUCGCAUGAUGGGUCUGGGAAAGAUUGUGCCUUUGGGUGUUUUUGGUGGGGGAUGGGCUCGCGGCCUAUCAGCUUGUUGGUGGGGUGAUGGCCUACCAAGGCGGUGACGGGUAGCCGGCCUGAGAGGGUGGACGGUCACACUGGGACUGAGACACGGCCCAGACUCCUACGGGAGGCAGCAGUGGGGAAUAUUGCACAAUGGGCGCAAGCCUGAUGCAGCGACGCCGCGUGAGGGAUGGAGGCCUUCGGGUUGUAAACCUCUUUCGCCAGUGAAGCAGGCCUGCUCCUUGUGGGUGGGUUGACGGUAGCUGGAUAAGAAGCGCCGGCUAACUACGUG